GUGAAUCAUCGAAUCUUUGAACGCAAAAUGCACUUUCUGGUAUUCCGGAAAGCAUGCCUGUUUGAGGGUCAGUUAAAUCAAAAUCCGUGUUGUUGCUGCUGUUCGUGGUGACGCGUCGGAAUUGAGUUGUCUUACCUUCGGUUAAGUUACUUAAGGUUUUGCAUGAGUUUCGCUCGUAUUUAAAUUUCAUACGUACGUUUGAGAUGUCGAAUACUUUAUUAGGUUCAGUCAUCCUCAUGUUUCGCACCUAUAAUUUUUCAUUAGAUGACCUCAAAUCAGGUAAGAAUACCCGCUGAACUUA
This 301-nucleotide unclassified non-coding RNA is filed under the name Glomus sp. RNAcentral's name for it is "partial contains 5.8S ribosomal RNA, internal transcribed spacer 2, and large subunit ribosomal RNA". The stretch from base 1 to 71 matches the Rfam family "5.8S ribosomal RNA", at positions 84 to 154 of the family's 154-position model. Lineage: Eukaryota; Fungi; Glomeromycota; Glomeromycetes; Glomerales; Glomeraceae. The record is from RNAcentral.